CCUACGGGUGGCAGCAGUGGGGAAUAUUGGACAAUGGGGGGAACCCUGAUCCAGCCAUGCCGCGUGUGUGAAGAAGGCCCUCGGGUUGUAAAGCACUUUCAGUGAGGAAGAACGCCUGGUGGUUAAUACCCAUCAGGAAAGACAUCACUCACAGAAGAAGCACCGGCUAACUCCGUGCCAGCAGCCGCGGUAAUACGCAGGGUGCGAGCGUUAAUCGGAAUUACUGGGCGUAAAGCGCGCGUAGGUGGCUUGAUAAGCCGGUUGUGAAAGCCCCGGGCUCAACCUGGGAACGGCAUCCGGAACUGUCAAGCUAGAGUGCAGGAGAGGAAGGUAGAAUUCCCGGUGUAGCGGUGAAAUGCGUAGAGAUCGGGAGGAAUACCAGUGGCGAAGGCGGCCUUCUGGACUGACACUGACACUGAGGUGCGAAAGCGUGGGUAGCAAACAGGAUUAGAUACCCCAGUAGUC
This 465-nucleotide ribosomal RNA is filed under the name Vreelandella stevensii. RNAcentral's name for it is "partial 16S ribosomal RNA". It matches the Rfam family "Bacterial small subunit ribosomal RNA", at positions 338 to 795 of the family's 1533-position model. The record is from RNAcentral. Lineage: Bacteria; Pseudomonadati; Pseudomonadota; Gammaproteobacteria; Oceanospirillales; Halomonadaceae.